This 466-nucleotide ribosomal RNA is filed under the name uncultured bacterium. RNAcentral's name for it is "bacterial SSU rRNA". It matches the Rfam family "Bacterial small subunit ribosomal RNA", at positions 355 to 819 of the family's 1533-position model. The record is from RNAcentral.
UGGGGAAUAUUGGACAAUGGGCGAAAGCCUGAUCCAGCCAUGCCGCGUGUGUGAAGAAGGUCUUCGGAUUGUAAAGCACUUUAAGUUGGGAGGAAGGGCAGUAAGCUAAUACCUUGCUGUUUUGACGUUACCGACAGAAUAAGCACCGGCUAACUCUGUGCCAGCAGCCGCGGUAAUACAGAGGGUGCAAGCGUUAAUCGGAAUUACUGGGCGUAAAGCGCGCGUAGGUGGUUUGUUAAGUUGGAUGUGAAAGCCCCGGGCUCAACCUGGGAACUGCAUCCAAAACUGGCAAGCUAGAGUACGGUAGAGGGUGGUGGAAUUUCCUGUGUAGCGGUGAAAUGCGUAGAUAUAGGAAGGAACACCAGUGGCGAAGGCGACCACCUGGACUGAUACUGACACUGAGGUGCGAAAGCGUGGGGAGCAAACAGGAUUAGAUACCCCCGUAGUCCCUGAGCGGGCUGGCAAG